GGGGGUGACAUGGCUUCGACAGGGGAGGCUGUGUAUAUGUUGCAGGCCGCGGCGCCCGAUGCCGCGUCAACAACGGGCAAGGCAAUUAAAUGCCAACGAAACCAACUACGCGCUUCCAGUCGCCGCUUAGGUAACGCGGGAGCGUAGCUGGCCUUGCGAGGCCAGCCGUCCGUCCCAAUCGUCGUCACCCGGUUGGAUUGGCGGGCGUGACUAAAGGUGGCGUGCGGUCGCGCCGACGCCGAUACAGCGGACCAAAGAGACAUCGGCUAGUUGCCAGUGUACCGCGUUCGCUGGGGCUACUGGCGGCGAAUGCUAACAGGGAACUAAGCUUGUAGACGCGUAUAGACGAAUCUCUUGGACAGCGGUUCGAUUCCGCUCACCUCCACAU
This 388-nucleotide transfer-messenger RNA is filed under the name Anaerolineae bacterium. It matches the Rfam family "transfer-messenger RNA". Rfam says of the family: Bacterial tmRNA, also known as 10Sa RNA or SsrA, is named for its dual tRNA and mRNA-like properties. Its role is to liberate the mRNA from a stalled ribosome. Lineage: Bacteria; Bacillati; Chloroflexota; Anaerolineae. The record is from RNAcentral. RNAcentral also lists the same sequence under 1 other name.